RNAcentral lists this ribosomal RNA (113 nucleotides) under Caerostris extrusa. The record is from RNAcentral. Lineage: Eukaryota; Metazoa; Arthropoda; Arachnida; Araneae; Araneidae.
AACGGCCAUACCAUGCUGAAUACACCGGCUCUCGUUAGAUCACCGAAGUCAAGCAUCAUUGGGCGCGGUCAGUACUUGGGUGGGUGACCACCUGGGAACACCGCGUGCCGUUG